UCAACAUGCAUUCCUUUGAAUGGUAGCUUAACAACCCAUCACAAAAUGGUAGUUACGGAAGAUGUAUACAAGAGGAGACGACAACAUGUAGUCAAUUUAAAACACAAGUAUAAGAAUUAUACUCUGCUUUAGUGCAAGCCAUUCAAAAAGCAUACUUGAUUCAAGUUUGGAUAUGAGAACAUCGUGACAAAAGUUUCUCUUUUUAGGAUUCGUCGAUGCCUCACCGUGCACCUCUCCUAGUCUCCCUUUCCUCCGUACAUUUUUCGCAUCCUCAAUUUCUCCUAGCGUUCCUUCAAACAAGAAAAUGAGAAGAUAUUUUUUUCAAGGGGCAUCAACAUAGAACCAUGACCUUCGCAUCUUCUUGAAGACUAUUGGCGAGUGAACCUUCAUGCGGAGCCAUGUUUUCCAUUGACAACGUCCUCCGCCCUGGCCUAUAUCACACAAGUUCUUUUCCAUCAGAUCUACCAUGCCAUAUAACAAGAUGAUUUAAGAAUGAACGUGUAAGUGUUCCUAGCAUGAAAAGCAUAGCAAAUUCGAGUGCCAGAACAUAACAGUGAAGUUGUACACUUUCAUGCGGAGUUGAGCUUCAAUACAAUACCAGAGCUCUAUCUUCAGCGAACUGGUAAUAUGAAAUGAUGAGCACGAACUUAACUUUGGUUGUUCAGUUCCAAUUAUGAUGCCCAAUUCAGUUGAUGUUACCACGGAGAAUUAUAUAACAAGCAUUGAGUGUUAAGUAGCUUGAAACCUUAUACUUAAGGUCACUUGUCUAUCUGAUUGUAAAUGACAGGAUGCAAUAUUACAUUAUCAUUACUUAAUUGAAGACUAUAAUUAUAUUUGCAAUUGUUAUUAAAGCAAUCUUCAUACACAAAUUCUAGAGCAUCAGAUUUCUCUUCGUAUAGAAGGUCCUAAAAUCAGUGAGCUCUAGAAACUUCAGGCAGAAAAUUAUCGCGAGGGCAUAAAAAUUGAAGUAUAAUUCGAAGAAUCAACCCAGGAAACUACAACCAGGAACCAUUUUAUUUCGGAUUCAGUUCCUAAUUUUUUUAAUAUUGACUAUCUAGUGUGGAAAAGAGUGAUUUAUAACCUCUGUGUCCAUAUCAGUAUGUCCCAGUUUCAGUCGUCAUCAUUUCAGUUACAG
Molecule: long non-coding RNA, 1135 nt
Filed under: Triticum aestivum (bread wheat)
Lineage: Eukaryota; Viridiplantae; Streptophyta; Magnoliopsida; Poales; Poaceae
Description: long non-coding RNA (TAES_LNC009581)
Source: RNAcentral